Molecule: ribosomal RNA, 606 nt
Filed under: uncultured bacterium
Lineage: Bacteria
Description: bacterial SSU rRNA
Rfam family: Bacterial small subunit ribosomal RNA (bases 1-516)
Source: RNAcentral
CCUACGGGAGGCAGCAGUGGGGAAUUUUCCGCAAUGGGCGAAAGCCUGACGGAGCAAUACCGCGUGAGGGAGGAAGGCUCUUGGGUCGUAAACCUCUUUUCUCAAGGAAGAUAAUGACGGUACUUGAGGAAUAAGCAUCGGCUAACUCCGUGCCAGCAGCCGCGGUAAUACGGAGGAUGCAAGCGUUAUCCGGAAUGAUUGGGCGUAAAGAGUCCGUAGGUGGUAAUUCAAGUCUGUGGUUAAAGCGUGGAGCUCAACUCCAUAAGGGCCAUGGAAACUGAAUAACUAGAGUGAGGUAGGGGUAGAGGGAAUUCUCGGUGUAGCGGUGAAAUGCGUAGAUAUCGGGAAGAACACCGGUGGCGAAAGCGCUCUACUGGACCUUAACUGACACUGAGGGACGAAAGCUAGGGGAGCGAAAGGGAUUAGAUACCCCUGUAGUCCUAGCCGUAAACGAUGGAUACUAGGUGUUGCCCGUAUCGACCCGGGCAGUGCGUACGCUACGACGUAGUAUCCGCCGUCGGGUAGGUACGCGACGCGAGUAGUAGAACUACGAAGAAGUAGACGGCGUGAGACGNGUCCGAACGGACGACGACGAGGGAGGUUAGG